AACGAACGCUGGCGGCGUGGAUAAGACAUGCAAGUCGAACGAGAUCACUUUUUGUAGCAAUACAGAAAGUGAUUUAGUGGCGAACGGGUGCGUAACACGUGGGCAAUCUGCCUUAAAGUGGGGGAUAGCUCGGCGAAAGACCGAAUUAAUACCGCAUGUGGUGAAAGGGAGACAUCUCUCUGAAUCCAAAGCCGGGGCAACCUGGCGCUUUUUGAGGAG
RNAcentral lists this ribosomal RNA (219 nucleotides) under uncultured bacterium. RNAcentral describes it as "partial 16S ribosomal RNA". It matches the Rfam family "Bacterial small subunit ribosomal RNA", at positions 29 to 229 of the family's 1533-position model. The record is from RNAcentral.